UUACGGCCAUAUCACGUUCCAACAUCGGAUCCCAUAUGACUACCGAAGUUAAGUAACGUUAAGCCUGGUUAGUACCUAGAUGGGUGACCGCUUGGGAAUACCAGGUGCUGUAA
This is a non-coding RNA of Acanthosepion pharaonis, 113 nucleotides long. NCBI's taxonomy places the organism in Eukaryota, Metazoa, Mollusca, Cephalopoda, Sepiida, Sepiidae. The record is from the annotation of a GenBank genome assembly.